Cyprinus carpio (common carp) is the source of this 239-nucleotide long non-coding RNA. RefSeq lists it as uncharacterized. The transcript is spliced from 4 exons. The record is from RefSeq and is a predicted model, not a curated record. Lineage: Eukaryota; Metazoa; Chordata; Actinopteri; Cypriniformes; Cyprinidae.
AGAGCGGGGUAAUUGCAGCACCGCUGCAAAGAUUUCUGCUCUCCAACCUCUCACACAUCAUUGCAGAAGGAUGGGAAGAUAGGGAACAGGGAUCUGUUUGCUGGCUUUAACUGCACGGAUCUGGAGGCUCAGAUGAUUCCUCACACUCUCACAGCAUCUGUCUGUCAGCCCAGUGCCUCUGAUGAUAAAGCGUCCUGCUCCAGCCACAGGAGCUCGUCUUUCAGUGAGACGGAGUGUCU